RNAcentral lists this ribosomal RNA (433 nucleotides) under uncultured bacterium. RNAcentral's name for it is "partial 16S ribosomal RNA". It matches the Rfam family "Bacterial small subunit ribosomal RNA", at positions 29 to 507 of the family's 1533-position model. The record is from RNAcentral.
AACGAACGCUGGCGGCAUGCCUAACACAUGCAAGUCGAACGAGACCUUCGGGUCUAGUGGCGCACGGGUGCGUAACGCGUGGGAACCUGCCCUUAGGUUCGGAAUAACUCCCCGACAGGGGUGCUAAUACCGGAUAAUGUCUUCGGACCAAAGAUUUAUCGCCUUUGGAUGGGCCCGCGUUGGAUUAGCUAGUUGGUAGGGUAAAAGCCUACCAAGGCGACGCUCCAUAGCUGGUCUGAGAGAAUGAUCAGCCACACUGGGACUGAGACACGGCCCAGACUCCUACGGGAGGCAGCAGAGGGGAAUAUUGGACAAUGGGCGAAAGGCUGAUCCAGCAAUGCCGCGUGAGUGAUGAAGGCCUUAGGGUUGUAAAGCUCUUUUACCCGGGAUGAUAAUGACAGUACCGGGAGAAUAAGCUCCGGCUAACUCCGUG